CGACUCCUCUCCCCUCUCCUCUGUGCACUUCCCGGGGCCGCCGCCGGUGUUCUGGGGACCGCAGCGGGGCCCUCGCCGCCGGCCGUCGUGUGUCCUACGGCCGCCCCGAAGGAUCUGAGCCCCGGAGCUGGAAGCGGCCAACGACUUGUUGUAACUGGGAAGGGAGCGGGGGGAGAAAAAGGGAAACGCUGGGUUGAGACUGACAUUCCAGUAAUAUAUUUCCGUGAGAAGAGUUUUAAGAUGUCCUCUGUAAUUUCCCAUAAGAAAUCUGGUUAUACUGGUUGAUUUCAAUAGGAGAAUUCUCUGCCUGCAGGCAUAGGGUGAGUAAUACGCCGUGUGUUUCAUACUCCCCUGCUAAUAUGAUAAUAAACGCAUUCAAAAAGAAAAAAAAAAAGAAAGAAGGAAAGAAAGAAAAAAAGCACCGAAGUGUUUACAGCGCGUCCCCGUCCUGCUCCGUGCCUCACCGUCCCGGCACCGGGAGCGGAGUGCCGUCCGGGAGGGAAGGGAGCAGAGCGGCGGCGGCCGAGGGGAAGGAGAGGCUGAAGGCAGCGCUCGUUGACUCUCAUCCCUAUCCCGAGUGCCGCCUCCUCCCGAGCGGGAGAGUUUGCGGGAGCCCCGCUACGAACCCGCAGAGCGCAAACGGCACGCGGCCGCGGUUCCCUCGAGCGCCGGCAGCGCGCAGGCAAAGGACCGUUCAUUAGGAUAAUAAUUAGCGCCGCUCUGUUUUAUCCCCAACCCGUUCGAUCUCUAUCUGUUCCGAGACAACGCUAAUAAUGGCAGCGAUUGCUUCAGUAAACAUCCUGCGCCGGC
RNAcentral lists this long non-coding RNA (810 nucleotides) under Gallus gallus (chicken). Lineage: Eukaryota; Metazoa; Chordata; Aves; Galliformes; Phasianidae. The record is from RNAcentral.